Molecule: ribosomal RNA, 249 nt
Filed under: uncultured prokaryote
Description: partial 16S ribosomal RNA
Rfam family: Bacterial small subunit ribosomal RNA
Source: RNAcentral
UACGGAGGAUUCGAGCGUUAUCCGGAUUUAUUGGGUUUAAAGGGUGCGUAGGCGGGCUAAUAAGUCAGUGGUGAAAUCACUCAGCUUAACUGAGUAACUGCCAUUGAUACUGCCAGGCUAGGAUUUGGUUGCUGUGGGUGGAAUGUGUGGUGUAGCGGUGAAAUGCUUAGAUAUCACACAGAAUAUCGAUUGCGAAGGCAGCUCACAAAGCCAAGAUUGACGCUGAGGCACGAAAGUGUGGGGAUCAAA